RNAcentral lists this ribosomal RNA (454 nucleotides) under uncultured bacterium. RNAcentral's name for it is "bacterial SSU rRNA". It matches the Rfam family "Bacterial small subunit ribosomal RNA", at positions 340 to 786 of the family's 1533-position model. The record is from RNAcentral.
UACGGGAGGCAGCAGUGGGGAAUAUUGCACAAUGGGCGCAAGCCUGAUGCAGCCAUGCCGCGUGUAUGAAGAAGGCCUUCGGGUUGUAAAGUACUUUCAGUCGUGAGGAAGGUGUUAAGGUUAAUAACCUUAGCAAUUGACGUUAGCGACAGAAGAAGCACCGGCUAACUCCGUGCCAGCAGCCGCGGUAAUACGGAGGGUGCGAGCGUUAAUCGGAAUUACUGGGCGUAAAGGGCACGCAGGCGGUUAAUUAAGUUGGAUGUGAAUCCCCGGGCUUAACCUGGGAAUGGCAUUCAAGACUGGUUAGCUAGAGUCUUGUAGAGGGGGUAGAAUUCCAUGUGUAGCGGUGAAAUGCGUAGAGAUGUGGAGGAAUACCGGUGGCGAAGGCGGCCCCUGGACAAAGGACUGACGCUCAUGUGCGAAAGCGUGGGGAGCGAAACAGGGAUUAGAUACC